CGUAGGGGGCCGAGCGUUGUCCGGAGUUACUGGGCGUAAAGCGUGCGCAGGCGGCGCGUUCUGCCCGGCGUGAAAGCCCCCGGCUCAACCGGGGGAACGUCGUCGGGGACGGGCGCGCUUGAGGGCGGCAGGGGGCUGGUGGAACUCCCGGUGUAGUGGUGAAAUGCGUAGAGAUCGGGAAGAACACCUGUGGCGAAGGCGGCCAGCUGGGCCGACCCUGACGCUGAGGCACGAAGGCGUGGGGAGCGAACGGGAUU
This 257-nucleotide ribosomal RNA is filed under the name uncultured bacterium. RNAcentral describes it as "partial 16S ribosomal RNA". It matches the Rfam family "Bacterial small subunit ribosomal RNA", at positions 526 to 779 of the family's 1533-position model. The record is from RNAcentral.